This is a long non-coding RNA of Phyllostomus discolor (pale spear-nosed bat), 1832 nucleotides long. RefSeq lists it as uncharacterized. The transcript has 2 exons. NCBI's taxonomy places the organism in Eukaryota, Metazoa, Chordata, Mammalia, Chiroptera, Phyllostomidae. The record is from RefSeq and is a predicted model, not a curated record.
CCUGGCGGCCGAUGUGAGUGAACCGGUCCCAGAGCGUGAUUGCCCGGGAUUAGAGGAGGACCAGGCCCAGCGGGGCGGAUCCCCAGAGUCCCUCCCCAGGGCCCACACUCUGGGAAGAAGCUGGUCCAAGGGUGUGCCAAUAGCAGGGACAACUCCAGGUUGCCUCUCAGUUGGGGACAGGGUGACCCAGCUUCUUGGUCCUCAAGGACAGAGAGGGAGAAUUCUGAGUGGUCAUCGGAGGGAACCAAGACCUUCUACCCAUGACCUGGAAGCAGCCUGGAUGGCCAAAAGGAGGAGGAAAGCACUCUUGUCAGUUGAGAGGACCCGAGCUUCUCUUGAUUGGAAUCAGCUCCUUGGCUUCUACCUCCCUGAAAAAAAGAAAGGCCAGUCGAGCACACAGUGAGAAGGCAGCUGACUGCAAGCCAGAAAGCUCCUCUCAGGAUCCAAAUCUGCCAACACCCCGACCUAGGACACCCCAGGCUCCAGAACUGAGAUAAAUAAAUGUCUGCAGUUUAAUCCACCUAGCCUAUUGCAUUUUGCUAUAGCAGCUUGAGGUCUCAGAAGGAUCAGUAGUUGGUAUCUGAAAAUAUAUGACACAGAGAGUCAAAGGAGGUACAGAAUGGGUCUCUUGGAAUGGACACUGUGUAAAGAUAUUCAUAUCCCAUGUAGCUGAACAGCAUUUGAACACUCUCUGCAAAAGAGGCCUCAGUAAUCUGGUGGACAAAAUGACACACUGCACAAUGUCAGUUGACCUCGUUCCCAGCCAUGCCAGUGUUUGCCCAAUGGGCUCAUAAACAAAGGGACUAUGGUUGCAGGCAUGGGGACUGGACAUGGUCUUCCACUUACCAAGGCUGAGCUGGAUGCUGCUGCCACCUAGUGGCUAAGAUGCCAACAGCAGAGAACAACAGGGAGCCCCAGCACCAUUCCUUGAGGGACCAGCUAGCCACCUAGUGGCAGGUUGAUUCCAUUGCACCUCUGUCGUCAUGGAAGGGGUACAAAUUCUGGAUAUAUAUUUGUUUUCACUGCUAUAAUGCUUCUUCCUGCACCAACAUCCCUAGACUCUUGGGAUGUCUUAGCCACCAUCAUGGUAUUCCCCACAGCACUGUAUCUAAUUGAGGAACCUUUUUCACAGCCAAAGAAGUGCAACAUGGAUUAACUGGUCUUAGCAUACACACCAUUGCCCAGAAGCAACUGACCUAGUUAAAAGCGGAGUGGCUUACUGAAGACUCGGUUAUGGCGCAAGUUGAGAGAUGACACCCUGAAAUAGAAAUAUCGUAGUUCUGUCUUGCAGGAUGCAAUUUAUGCUUUGAAUCGAAGACCAUGAACUGGUACAGUCUCUCCCAGAGACAUGAUACUUAUGUCCGGGAAUCAGGAGAUAGAAGUAGGAAUGGUUUCUUUCAUAAUUAGUCUCCAUAAUUCACUCAAAGAAUUUUGCUUUUGUCCUGGCUGCUUUGAGAUCUUCCGCUUUGGAGAUCUUCGUUCCAAAGAAGAUAAUACUUCCACCAGGGGGCGCUGCAGUGGUUCCACUGUGUUGAAACCAACAGAAAAAGAGGCUGCUCUUCUGGUGGGACUAAUUGAUCCUGAUUACUAAGGAAAAACUGAGCGCAGCCACACCAGGGAGCAGGAAGACUUUGUCCGGAACCCAGGACACUAAGCAUCUUAGGACUUCUUAGCACUCAGAGCCUUAAAGAAUGAAGGUUUACAUCCACCACCAGGUAAAGAGACCUGUGACCAGCUGAGGUUCUAGCUGAGGACAAGAAAAAUAUCGAAUUGAUAGAGGAAGAAAGAUGUCAUAGACAUUAACUAUGAUCUCAUGACUAGGUUACCACAUU